GCAAGGUGUCCCAUUCUGUCUCUGUAUUACCAAACCAACUUCAAUCUUCAACUAAUCUUCACCGCUGCAGCUGCAACACCGUCCUCUCUUGACAUCACCACAGCGACUCCGCAGUUACCAGCAUGGACACGCGCUUCAUAGGCAUGAACCCUGAGAGAGAGACAAAAACAUCAAAAGGAAAUGUGACAUCUAAAACCACAGGGCGACUUGUACAGGGAAACGGGUUGAACCCGCAUGUCUACUCUGCAAACUGAUUGACUACGAGUGGAAUUUCUAAAAUGUAUUUCCAGCUACUGCUUGGACCCUUUGGGUCAGGAUCUGGACCUGAAGUACUCUCCAUUUCAUUCUUUACUUGUUCAGAAGAGACUCACUUGGGGCCUUGUUGGCUUAGGCCAUGUUGGCCAGUUCAUGAAGUGUUAAAAUAUCUUCAAUGCCUCUGUGGCUUUUUCAUGACCAUGUUGGUCAAUGUAUGUAGUUUAAUAAAGCAUAUGCACUUUGCAUCCUUCUUUUCAUUUUUUAAACUUCACAAUACAGAAGUACAAAAUGAACUUUGUAUUGUUUUUAAGACUGACCUCAAAUGGUGUCGAUGACCUUUCUUUACUUCAGUGGCAGGGGACCAGGCUUUUAUUUGGGGUUAUUUUAGAGACAUGCCUUUAUAUCUACAUGUAUCAUAUGAGCACUUGUUGGUUACAAGUAAUUCCAACCCACUCAGUGUUUUUUUUUAACCUGUUAUUUGAGACCAUUUUUUGAAUAUUGACUUUUAUAUGGGAAUAUACAGUAUGUGAAUUUUUAAAAGAUCCUUUGCACUUGAAGGACUUUGUAAGAGCAUUUUGAACAGUUGUAAAUGUAAGUUAUAUUUUAAGUAAACUUUGACCAGUUUUUUCAAGAUAUCCAAAUGAUUUGUUAAUAUGUUAAGUGAAAUAAUAACUGAAUUGACUUAUAUGCAUUAUACAACACA
Molecule: long non-coding RNA, 958 nt
Organism: Siniperca chuatsi (mandarin fish)
Lineage: Eukaryota; Metazoa; Chordata; Actinopteri; Centrarchiformes; Sinipercidae
Exons: 3
Source: RefSeq, a predicted model, not a curated record